AUUGAACGCUGGCGGCAUGCCUUACACAUGCAAGUCGAACGGCAGCAUGGGUGCUUGCACCUGAUGGCGAGUGGCGAACGGGUGAGUAAUGCAUCGGAACGUACCCGGAAGUGGGGGAUAACGUAGCGAAAGUUACGCUAAUACCGCAUAUUCUGUGAGCAGGAAAGAGGGGGAUCGCAAGACCUCUCGCUUUCGGAGCGGCCGAUGUCGGAUUAGCUAGUUGGCGGGGUAAAGGCCCACCAAGGCAACGAUCCGUAGCGGGUCUGAGAGGAUGAUCCGCCACACUGGGACUGAGACACGGCCCAGACUCCUACGGGAGGCAGCAGUGGGGAAUUUUGGACAAUGGGGGCAACCCUGAUCCAGCCAUGCCGCGUGAGUGAAGAAGGCCUUCGGGUUGUAAAGCUCUUUCGGCUGGGAAGAAAUCGCAUCUCCUAAUACGGGGUGUGGAUGACGGUACCAGCAUAAGAAGCACCGGCUAACUACGUGCCAGCCGCCGCGGUAA
This 502-nucleotide ribosomal RNA is filed under the name uncultured bacterium. RNAcentral's name for it is "partial 16S ribosomal RNA". It matches the Rfam family "Bacterial small subunit ribosomal RNA", at positions 30 to 523 of the family's 1533-position model. The record is from RNAcentral.